UAAAAGCCUACCAAGCCUAAGAUCCUUAGCUGUUCUGAGAGGUUGAACAGCCACACUGGGACUGAGACAAGGCCCAGGCUCCAUUUGGAGCCAGCAGUGAGGAAUUUUGGACAAUGAGCGAAAGCUUGAUCCAGCAAUACUACAUGAGUGAAGAAGGCUUUCAAGUUGUAACACUCCUUGGUUGAGGAGGAUAAUGACAGUACUCAACAAAAUAGCCCCGGCUAACUUCGUGCCAGCAGCCGCGGUAAGACGAAGGGGGCGAGCGUUAUCCGGAAUGACUGGGCGUAAAGGGUCCGUAGGCAGCAUUUUUUGUUGGAAGUUAAAUAAAAAAGCUUAACUUUUUUCCGCUUCUAAAACGUAAAUGCUUUGAGUUUGAUAGAAGAUAGCAGAAUUUCACAAGGAGGGGUGAUAUCCAGAGAUCUGUGAAGGAAUAUCAGAUGCGAAGGCGGCUAUCUAGAUCAACACUGACGUUGAGGGACGAAAGCAUGGGGAGCAAACAGGAUUAGAUACCCUGGUAGUCCAUGCCCUAAAAGAUGAGUGUUCGUGCUUAGAGAACUUUAGGCACUUAGUUAACACGUUAAACACUCCGCCUGGGGAGUACGAUCGCAAGGUUGGAACUCAAAGGAAUUGACGGGGGCCUAUACAAGUGGUGGAGCAUGUGGUUUAAUGCGAUAAUACGCGCGAAACCUUACCAGUUCUUGACAUAAAAAAGAAAAAGUUUGAAAAAGCAAUUUUAAGGAUUUUUACAGGUGCUGCAUGGCUGUCGUAAGCUCGUGUCGUGAGAUGUUAGGUUAACUCCUUUUAACGGGCGAAACCCCUUUUUUUCGUUGCUACUUAAUUUUAUUUUUAAAGCACUCUAAAAAAACUGCUCCCUUUUUUUAAUUCGGAGAGGAAGGUGGGGAUGACGUCAAGUCCUUAUGGCCCUUAUGAACUGGGCUACACACGUGCUACAAUGGUAAAGACAAUAAGAAGUGAUAGGGUAACCUAAAACCAAUCUUUAAACUUUAUCAAAGUUCGGAUUGUGGACUGCAACUCGUCCAUAUGAAGGUGGAAUCACUAGUAAUCGCACAUCAGCAUGUUGCGGUGAAUUUGUACCUAGGCCUUGUACACACCGCCCGUCACGUGCCGGGAGUUGGC
Molecule: ribosomal RNA, 1137 nt
Filed under: uncultured organism
Description: partial 16S ribosomal RNA
Rfam family: Bacterial small subunit ribosomal RNA
Source: RNAcentral